Molecule: ribosomal RNA, 253 nt
Filed under: uncultured bacterium
Lineage: Bacteria
Description: partial 16S ribosomal RNA
Rfam family: Bacterial small subunit ribosomal RNA
Source: RNAcentral
UACGUAGGGGGCAAGCGUUAUCCGGAUUUACUGGGUGUAAAGGGAGCGUAGACGGCGAGACAAGUCUGAAGUGAAAUGCCAGUGCUCAACACUGGAACUGCUUUGGAAACUGCCUGGCUGGAGUGCGGGAGAGGUAAGUGGAAUUCCUAGUGUAGCGGUGAAAUGCGUAGAUAUUAGGAGGAACACCAGUGGCGAAGGCGGCUUACUGGACCGUAACUGACGUUGAGGCUCGAAAGCGUGGGGAGCAAACGGG